This 253-nucleotide ribosomal RNA is filed under the name uncultured bacterium. RNAcentral's name for it is "partial 16S ribosomal RNA". It matches the Rfam family "Bacterial small subunit ribosomal RNA", at positions 524 to 776 of the family's 1533-position model. The record is from RNAcentral.
UACGUAGGGUGCGAGCGUUGUCCGGAAUUACUGGGCGUAAAGGGCUCGUAGGCUGCCAACUAAGUCAGACGUGAAAUCCCUCGGCUUAACCGGGGAACUGCGUCUGAUACUGGAUGGCUUGAGAUUGGGAGAGGGAUGCGGAAUUCCAGGUGUAGCGGUGAAAUGCGUAGAUAUCCGGAGGAACACCAGCGGCGAAGGCGGCUUUCUGGUCCGAUACUGACGCUGAGGUGCGAAAGCGUGGGGAGCGAUCCGG